RNAcentral lists this ribosomal RNA (251 nucleotides) under Lacticaseibacillus paracasei. RNAcentral's name for it is "Lactobacillus paracasei partial 16S ribosomal RNA". It matches the Rfam family "Bacterial small subunit ribosomal RNA", at positions 1 to 225 of the family's 1533-position model. The record is from RNAcentral. Lineage: Bacteria; Bacillati; Bacillota; Bacilli; Lactobacillales; Lactobacillaceae.
UUUAUAUGAGAGUUUGAUCCUGGCUCAGGAUGAACGCUGGCGGCGUGCCUAAUACAUGCAAGUCGAACGAGUUCUCGUUGAUGAUCGGUGCUUGCACCGAGAUUCAACAUGGAACGAGUGGCGGACGGGUGAGUAACACGUGGGUAACCUGCCCUUAAGUGGGGGAUAACAUUUGGAAACAGAUGCUAAUACCGCAUAGAUCCARAACCGCAAUGGUUCUUGGCUGCUGAGACUGCCAAGGCACACAGGGG